CAGAUUAGAGCUUGUAAAAGCUUUUUACUUACAUUAAAAUGAAAUUCGUAAUGAGUUGAUCUGA
RNAcentral lists this transfer RNA (64 nucleotides) under Ceruchus minor. RNAcentral's name for it is "tRNA-Val". Lineage: Eukaryota; Metazoa; Arthropoda; Insecta; Coleoptera; Lucanidae. The record is from RNAcentral.